RNAcentral lists this long non-coding RNA (1344 nucleotides) under Homo sapiens (human). RNAcentral describes it as "metastasis associated lung adenocarcinoma transcript 1". Lineage: Eukaryota; Metazoa; Chordata; Mammalia; Primates; Hominidae. The record is from RNAcentral.
GACGCAGCCCCACCGGUUGCGCAGUCCCUCCCCGCCCCCGCUCUCCCCUCCGCAGCCUGCAGCCCGAGACUUCUGUAAAGGACUGGGGCCCCGCAACUGGCCUCUCCUGCCCUCUUAAGCGCAGCGCCAUUUUAGCAACGCAGAAGCCCGGCGCCGGGAAGCCUCAGCUCGCCUGAAGGUGGUAAACUAUACCUACUGUCCCUCAAGAGAACACAAGAAGUGCUUUAAGAGGUAUUUUAAAAGUUCCGGGGGUUUUGUGAGGUGUUUGAUGACCCGUUUAAAAUAUGAUUUCCAUGUUUCUUUUGUCUAAAGUUUGCAGCUCAAAUCUUUCCACACGCUAGUAAUUUAAGUAUUUCUGCAUGUGUAGUUUGCAUUCAAGUUCCAUAAGCUGUUAAGAAAAAUCUAGAAAAGUAAAACUAGAACCUAUUUUUAACCGAAGAACUACUUUUUGCCUCCCUCACAAAGGCGGCGGAAGGUGAUCGAAUUCCGGUGAUGCGAGUUGUUCUCCGUCUAUAAAUACGCCUCGCCCGAGCUGUGCGGUAGGCAUUGAGGCAGCCAGCGCAGGGGCUUCUGCUGAGGGGGCAGGCGGAGCUUGAGGAAACCGCAGAUAAGUUUUUUUCUCUUUGAAAGAUAGAGAUUAAUACAACUACUUAAAAAAUAUAGUCAAUAGGUUACUAAGAUAUUGCUUAGCGUUAAGUUUUUAACGUAAUUUUAAUAGCUUAAGAUUUUAAGAGAAAAUAUGAAGACUUAGAAGAGUAGCAUGAGGAAGGAAAAGAUAAAAGGUUUCUAAAACAUGACGGAGGUUGAGAUGAAGCUUCUUCAUGGAGUAAAAAAUGUAUUUAAAAGAAAAUUGAGAGAAAGGACUACAGAGCCCCGAAUUAAUACCAAUAGAAGGGCAAUGCUUUUAGAUUAAAAUGAAGGUGACUUAAACAGCUUAAAGUUUAGUUUAAAAGUUGUAGGUGAUUAAAAUAAUUUGAAGGCGAUCUUUUAAAAAGAGAUUAAACCGAAGGUGAUUAAAAGACCUUGAAAUCCAUGACGCAGGGAGAAUUGCGUCAUUUAAAGCCUAGUUAACGCAUUUACUAAACGCAGACGAAAAUGGAAAGAUUAAUUGGGAGUGGUAGGAUGAAACAAUUUGGAGAAGAUAGAAGUUUGAAGUGGAAAACUGGAAGACAGAAGUACGGGAAGGCGAAGAAAAGAAUAGAGAAGAUAGGGAAAUUAGAAGAUAAAAACAUACUUUUAGAAGAAAAAAGAUAAAUUUAAACCUGAAAAGUAGGAAGCAGAAGAAAAAAGACAAGCUAGGAAACAAAAAGCUAAGGGCAAAAUGUACAAACUUAGAAGAAAAUU